This 253-nucleotide ribosomal RNA is filed under the name uncultured bacterium. RNAcentral describes it as "partial 16S ribosomal RNA". It matches the Rfam family "Bacterial small subunit ribosomal RNA", at positions 524 to 776 of the family's 1533-position model. The record is from RNAcentral.
UACGUAGGGCGCAAGCGUUGUCCGGAAUUAUUGGGCGUAAAGAGCUCGUAGGCGGUUUGUCGCGUCUGCUGUGAAAACCUAAGGCUCAACCUCGGGCUUGCAGUGGGUACGGGCAGACUAGAGUGCGGUAGGGGUGACUGGAAUUCCUGGUGUAGCGGUGGAAUGCGCAGAUAUCAGGAGGAACACCGAUGGCGAAGGCAGGUCACUGGGCCGCAACUGACGCUGAGGAGCGAAAGCAUGGGGAGCGAACAGG